RNAcentral lists this ribosomal RNA (268 nucleotides) under uncultured bacterium. Its description in RNAcentral is "partial 16S ribosomal RNA". It matches the Rfam family "Bacterial small subunit ribosomal RNA", at positions 524 to 788 of the family's 1533-position model. The record is from RNAcentral.
UACGUAGGGUGCGAGCGUUGUCCGGAAUUAUUGGGCGUAAAGAGCUUGUAGGCGGUCUGUCGCGUCUGCUGUGAAAAUCCGGGGCUCAACCCCGGACUUGCAGUGGGUACGGGCAGACUAGAGUGUGGUAGGGGAGACUGGAAUUCCUGGUGUAGCGGUGAAAUGCGCAGAUAUCAGGAGGAACACCGAUGGCGAAGGCAGGUCUCUGGGCCACUACUGACGCUGAGAAGCGAAAGCAUGGGGAGCGAACAGGAUUAGAACCGUACCG